AAAACAAAGAAGAAGUCCGCUUCUCACCUUACGCCAGAGGUUAGUAAGGUAAAUAUAAGUUAAAGCUUAAUUUUAAUUUAAGUUUGUUUAAAUUUGGUAACUUAUAUUGCGGAUGAUUACGUCAUCCGCUUUUUAUUUUAUAA
Molecule: small RNA, 143 nt
Filed under: Clostridioides difficile E13
Lineage: Bacteria; Bacillati; Bacillota; Clostridia; Peptostreptococcales; Peptostreptococcaceae
Also listed under: 1 other name
Description: L20_leader
Source: RNAcentral